CAAUAUCCAAUUAGUUGUACUACAUUUUGAUGAUGUAUUCUUCCAAUUGUUGCAAUUUCACUAAUAAAGUCUUGGCCGCUACCUUUUGCUUUAUGUAGCAUUUUAAUUGCCACAGAAGGCCCACUACGCAACUUUCCCUUGAAUACAAAGCCAUAGCCUCCUUCACCCAAUUUUUCUUUGAAACCUCUAGCCAUCUUCUUAAUUUCUUUGUAUGAGUAUCCAAUAGGCAUCAAGUUAUUUUGUUCCAGAUAAUUUUCAAUAUUUUCAUAUAUUGACAAAUGCAUUUUUCUCCAUUUGUAUAUCAAAAGCACAAUAAACAAUGUCAUCCCAAACAAAAACUUGCCUGCCAAGAAUGGUAGAAUGUAGUGUCCAAAGGUAAUAAAUAUUGAGUCAUACGCAUUGAAUUCAUGUUCAAGUUGUGGGUUUGGUCCUCUUAUAGUUUCAUACAAUCCUGUGAAUUAAUAUCACAAAUGUGACUAUUAUGUUAUAACGGAUGAUAAAGGAAAAAAGAUAACUAUCAUACAACCUAUAUGCACCAUCUGUUAAUAUUAGAAGAUUCUUAAUUAUUGGAAGAGUCAAAGUCACAAAGUGGUACGUACCAUCAUAUAAUCAAUAGUAAUAAUAAUGUCAAACUAUUAUAACACAUACUAAUUCCAGUGAAAUGUUUUGUAUGGUUAAUUUUAUGUGUAGCAUAUAAAAAUAGAGGAACUCACCUAUUAUGACAGCAAAAAUGGCAUCUGCAAAAAAAGAAAGAAAAGGUUUGCUUGAUUGAAUAGUGUAAUAAAGAAUCGUUUGAUUACAGUGUUAAUGUGAGAUGCAAUAAGUAAGGUAUUUGUUAAAGUAGAAUAUCCAUUUAGUUCUUAAAUUUUUUAAUAUCCUUCAAAUUUGACAAAUAUCAACCAAUUUAGUUGUUGAGGAUUUUGCAUAUCGGUCUGUUUUCGUUACUAAUAUUAAGUUUCAUCAAGGACCAAAUUGAUUAGUAGUUAUUAAUUUCUUUUGCUAUAGAAAGGAGAAAAAUAAAUAGUUAUUGUCAAAUCUAGCUAGGUAUCAAUUUGAUGUUUAACUUAUAUUGUUGAAUUAUGUUAUAUUAUACUAAGAAAUCAUAUAAGUCAUUGUUUCAAAUGCAAGCCAAUGGUUCUAUUAGUCUGUAUGUAUUAAAUAACUUGCACGUACAUAUACAUAAAUUUAAGAAGGAUGAUUCAUUGGAUGGAAUAGUAUUAAGGUUUAAUGGCUAUACAGGCAAAGACAAUGUAAAUAAAAUAAUUGGCAAAUGAUAAUUAAGGAACUAAAAGGAAAAGGAAGAAACAAAAUUUGAGUUCCAUAAAAUUAUAUUAUGUAUGACUUUUUUUACAUUUAUAUAUAAUUUCUACAAUAAAUAUUUUUUUUUAAUUUCUUAAAAUACUUAAUUAUAAACAAAACCUAAAACAAUUUUAUACAAUCAACCAAUAAAAAAUAUUACUUUUGAAAUAAUUAUUAUAAAAAUUUCAAUAUAUUUUGAUUUGAGAUAAAACAAAAAUUAAGGUUAUAAAAUCCUUACCUGGUGCAGAUGAUAGCAGAUUGGACCAUAUCCCUAUUGACAAAAAAAAAAUAUCAAUUUCGGAUUUCAUCAUAAUCGAGCUAGCUAGAAAGAGAAGACUAUAUAGCAUAUAUAUGUCAAAGUUUAUACCUAUUAUCAGUUUAAAAACUUUUAUUCAAAACAAAAAAAUGUUUUAUUUAAUCCUUGGUUUCAGAUAGAUACAGGUAAAAAAAAGUAAAACUAAUAAAUUAUUUUUUUGUUUAAAAAAUGAUUUUAUUAAUAGGAUGAAUAAGAAAUAUAAAUUAAAAUAUAAAUACAGACUUUUGAAACCUUGUUUCACCAAAUGCAAAAAUAUAUGGUUUAACAUAUUAAAGAUGGUUCUAUUGAUGAUUUGUAAAUAUAUAAUUUUUGCAACCUUUAGCACAUUCAGUAAGCUGGAACUGCUGUCCCCCCAGGAAAUUGCGGCAGGGGCAUUGAAGCUUCUUAAUGGAAGCGUCAAAUGCGCACUCGGAAUUCCACUUGGGAAUGCCACUUGAUGCAAGGAUCAGUAUCCACAUACUUCUCAUUGUUAAUCACUGCAUGGCUACAAUUUAAGAAAACUAUAUGCUGGAAAACGUGCUCCCAGGAAUAAGCUCGCUUUAGAAAGGCUAGGUAUGGAUCCCCUUCAAUUGCACUGAAAUUUGAUUGAGACAAGAAGUAGCGAGGAAUGGAGGAGCAAUAUGGCUGUUGAACACCCGGAUCCACCACACGGAUUGUGAAAUUGUUGUAGUUGAUAGCCUGCACAUGAUAUUUUCCAGAGUACAAAUAUAACACCGUAACAUUAUUUUCACAAGCUAGCUCAUACCUGUUGUCACCGCAACCUUUUGGGUCGCCUUUCAAUCGAAAUGGAUAAGUUAUGUUGGUGAUCACAGGAAGAAGGGGGGCAAGCAUGCUCUUGCUCACUGGUAGCACAAAUUUGCUGGACUAGUAAUAACAGGAACACCAAUAAAGCACUCUGUCUCCCCAUGACGCUCAAACUGUUUCUUGCUCACCUUUAAGUGCACAGUGCAUACAAAAUCAAAGUCGAUAUUUAAAGAAAAAAUUGUAAGGUUAUUUCUGUUCUAAUAUCUUUCUUUUCUACUUUUUACACAUUUUAAAUUAAUCUUACCAUUAUUGUAUUAUGUAAAAUUUUGACUGAAUCACAUCAAAAUGAGAGAGAUUUAGAGACUAUAAAUAUGAGACCGUAUAGUUGAUGAUGUCUUACAAGAAUUAAUUGAUAUUACCUAUACCAAUAAAAUACAUAUAUUUUUUGAUCGUUUAUUGUUUAAGAAUUUUAUGAUUAAACAUGUUUGACUUUGACUUGGAGUAGUUAUGAGAUAAUUUUAGUUAUUAUAUAUAACACUGAAAGUGAUAGUUUUCCCGAGCUUAUAGGUUGAAAUUGUUGGACUACAGUAAGAGCUUAUUAAAAUUCUGGAACUUUAUUUUUGAAUUUUACAUACACACGCCAUAGGAAAAUAAAUGUAUGCUUAUAAUUAUUGAUAUUUAAGACAUGGACUUAGGGGACCUCAUUUUUCCAAUAUUAAAAGAAUGUGUGAUUACGUAGACUUUAACUUGUCUUGUGGGCUUACGUCCCUGAGGGGUAUUAAGUCUUGGAAAAAUCAACACGAUUUUGAAGAGUUCUUCUAAGGUUUCGGUCAAUUUUCACGUGGUUGGGCUUGGAAGGUUUUGAUUAAUAUUAGAGGUAAAAUUUAACAGUGACAGCGAGACGUUAGGCUUUUUGAAUUUUUGUGAAGAGGAUGAGAUUUGAAGGAUUGGAAGGUCCUACUUAACCAACGGACUGUGCGGAUUUGGUCCACGGGUUGUCCGUAAAUCUGCUUAAUUCAUGGUUUAAGAAUCCCACCAACUAUAGCACCUUGAGAAUCCUGCUUAAUCCAGAUUUUUCAUUGUCGGUUUGUGAUAUUGUAUGCAUCCAAAUUGCAACUGUGGCUUUCGAAUCGGCAUUUAGUAUUGGUUCACGGGUGCUUAACAAAUAUCGAACUAGGCUUCUUGCUGACAACGUGCAAGCCUUGAUAUGUACUAAAAAUUGGUUACCAGGAUUUGAUAAGCAAGGUAAAUAAUAUGUAAUAAUUGUUGUCUUUUAAUCACUUAACUUGAGUUGAUUCUAAUAUUUAUUAUUAUUUUGAGUUUUAGGAAAAGAAGAUAAAGAUGUGGAGAUGGAGAAAACUCAAGCUACUUCAAAUAUGGAAUCAUUUGUUGUUAGAGAUGUUUAAGUUUCAUAUUUUAGAUUUAUUGCUUGGAUUUUCUAUCGUUAAGACAUUAUUUAUUUUAUUGAUGUAAUUGACUAAUUGUUGAGAUUUUAUUUAUAUUUGUGUUGAACUUAAUUUGAUUGUGUUGCAUUUUUGUUGAAAUUGAAAUUCAUUUAAAAUUAGGCCUACAGACUGACCCGUUUGACCUGCAGGGUCCACGGGGCGGGGAUGAAUCAAUUUAUUAGGUUCAUGUAAGAAUGCGAGGUGGACUGACCCGGUUCGCUGCCAAUGCAGGCGGGCCUUACGCAAAGUGGGCUGACCCACUUACCCACCCCUAAUUCCACACACUAUUUCCAAAAGUCCAGCACACCUUUUUGGACUUGUGGACUAGAAAAAUCCAUUAAAGUCAGUGUUGUGCAGCUUAAUGCAAGUUUAAAUUUAAUUUCAAAGAAUUUGGUAAGGUCAAGUAUGUGGUGGUAUAUGUCUGAGUUUCACUUUCUCCAUCAUAAUUCUGUGGGGGAGACAAUAUUAGAAUUUUAGAGGAUCCUUAUAAUAUAUCAAUAUAACCAUCAAGAACAUAUUACGUUAGAUUAUCAAGAAGAAUUUUAAGAAUAUCUGGAUCCAUAAUGACUGAUCAAACAAACGUAGCAGAAUCUGAAUCCGUAAGUGAUUUCUGAUCUAUGUACUCUCAGGAUAUGUUACGGAACAGAUAAUCGGCUAACAGCGUAACCAGUGACUUCAUGAUUCUUACUUAACCAGAGCUUCUUUAUUCCUUAAUAGGACCUUCGUAACUCUUCAGAUGUGGAGAAGAGAAACUAUAUCAGACGGCUCGGUAUAUUGAGGAUCAUAACCCAAUAGGGUUUAAGUCCAUAUCAUCGACUUAGUUGUCUAGUGGGCUCACUUAAUUUGAUCACAUAAAAUAAAACUCAUUAAUGAUAAAUAGCUAAUAUAAUUGUUUUAUAAUAUUAGCCCACAUUAAUUAUUGGAAUAGAAAAUUCCAACAAUCUCCUACUUGGGCUACAUAUUGUAACAAUUAUAUAAAAAAUCCUUAAGCGUGCAUUUGUAUGCUAUUUACCUUUAGACUUCCACCUUAACAACCUAGUUCAUCUCAUGUAUCAAUAAUAGAAUUAUUGCAGCUUUCGUCACUACAACAAAUAUAACUAGAUCCGAAUGACCAUCACAUUAGUACACUCAAUGACAUAGGUCAAUAUGGAUAAGCAACAUGAAAAUUACAUGCAAUGUGAUCUUAGUCAUGCCUAUUUCCAACUAGCCCAAACUUUAUUUUUUAUAUAGAUCUAUCCAAACACAACAUAAAUAUUGUAAAUAAAACAAGCUGAUAAUGAAAUGAUAAACUUUAACUUUAUUUCUGCAGAAAAUCCAAACAACAAAAUGUUUGUAAACCAUAAGAUAUCAAACAUAAGUAAGAUUCCCACUAAACUAAGUACUAUAAGGAAUUAGACCCAUAUGAACAGUGUGCUCAUGAAAAACUUUAAGUAUCAUAUCUUUAGUAAGUGGAUCAGCUAGCUUGCAAUGGGUUCCUAUAUGUUCUAUACAAAUCUGUAUUUUCUAAAUUCUUUAUUUAACAACCAAAUACUUUAUGUCAACAAACUUUUACUUGGUUGAAUCCUUAAUAAUACCACUAAGAUAUUGCCCCAAUAAACAACUGAUGACUACCUAAUGUUAGCAACGACAACAGGAAAUUUAGUUACAAUAAUUUAACAAUCAUAAAUUCUAGUAUGAUGUCGAAUAACAAAAUAUUAACCCCACCAACACGGUUAAAUAUGGAUCCUUAUGUGGAAUGAUUGCUAUUAAGACAUUCUGAAAAAAUCGAUGUCAGAAUAUCCUAUGAUCACUAAACUUCUAGACUUUCGAUAUGAAAACAUUUAAUUUUUUGUUCUCUUUAAUUAAUGCAUAAUGUGCUUUACUAUUUUCUAGUGUUGGUAUAUAUCACCUUAGGACUCCCACAAAAAAUUAUUUUAGGACAAUACAAAAAAACUUAAGCAUUCAUGAUAAAUUGUAAUAUAAUUGUUUUGCAACAAUAAGUCAUAUGAUGAUACUAGGAUGUCAUCAACAUAUAAUACCAAAAUAAUAAAUUUACUCCAACUAAACUUUUAGCAUACACAAUCAUCAACCAAAUUUACCUCAACAUCAUAAGAGAUAAUCUUGAUGAAUUUUGUAAUAUCAUAGACGAGAGAAUUGUUUAAAGCAUAAAUGGAUUUCUAUAGUUUACAUACCAUAGACUUUAGAUUAUCUUAAACAAGGUUUUCUGGUUGCACCAUAUAAAUUAUUUCAUCAAUAUUUCCAUUUAGAAACAUAAUCUUUACAUCCAUCUAUGCAAAACAAUUAUCAAAAUGAUCUGCAGUGUCAUUAUAGUCCUAUGAAAGUCUUUCUAAAAAAUUAGAGAGAAAGUCUCUUUGUGAUCAUUGACUUCCUUCUUGUAAAACUUUUGAUGACAAGACAAACUUUAUAUAUUUCAAUAUUACCCAUUGAAUCUCUUUCGAUUAUAUAAUAUCUACAACUUAUGGGUUUUACACUUUUAGGCAAUUUGAUGAUAUCCCAAAUGUCAUGUUCAACCAUUGGUUUUAUUACAUCAUUUAUGACAUCAAUUCACUUGAGAGUUAGAGCACAACAUGACUUGACUAAGGUCAAUUAAACCUUCUCAGUUAACCUAAUAUCAUUCAUAUUCAUGUUCUUAAAAAAAUAUGACAUAAUCAUAUCAAAUUACAUUUUUCCUUUCUUUGGUGAAUCUUCUUAAUGACACUUCUUGAGUUUAUUGAGUUUGAACUUUAGGUGAUGCUUGAGAGAGAAUCUUAGUGUUGUCUUGUCUUUUAAUAAUGUUAGGAGUAACAUCAUUAUUUAAUUACCAUAUCUGUUUUUUGAACAAUGGUAAGUACAAAGAUUUAUCUAUUGUCAAUAACAAAUUAUUCUUUAAAGACAACACUCAUUAUGUUUCCUUCCCCUCCAAACUCAAUUUUCUCAAGGAGUCUUGCAUUCUCGUCUCAAACAUGAUCUUAAAGUGAGAUUGUAAAACUUAUACAUGCAGAGAGCUAGCUUUAAAUAAAGAUGAAUCAUUUGUGGCGGUCAUAAUAAGCCACCAAAAAUACAUUUAUGGUGGUUUCUUCUAAUUCCCAGAAAAAACCGUCAACAAAGACAUUUUUUUACGUGCUUCCUAAAUCCACCCACUUAAUUCCUAUCUCUCAAGCUUCAUUCAUCCAGGUCAAACCAUUCAAAAACUUACUAUUCACCCCUAAAACAAGAUUUUCACCUAUGUAAUUAUAAUCAUAUAUAUAUAUAUAUAUAUAUAUAUAUAUAUAUAUAUAUAUAUAUAUAUAUAUAUAAACAUCACAAACCAUCACCUUAUAAUUAAUUAAUUACAUAUAUUUAAAUUAAAUUAUUCUUGCAAUCUAAUUAAAACCACUUAACUAGACAUUACAAAAAACAUAAUGUUACUUUAAUAAUUUAUUUUAACUAAUAAAUAUGGAUAGAUAUAAAAAGAUUAAUAUAGUACAUAGGAGUCUUUUUUAUUCAUUAAUUCGGUUUUUAUAAUAUGCUUUGUAUCCAAUAAUAAUUAAAAAAAUUAAAAGGAAUUUAUUUAAUAUAGUUAGCUAAAUUUAUUAUUUUUUUAAAAAAACUAAAUUUAUUAAAUUUAUGAAUAGUUACUUUUAUUUAAUAACAUUCAUGAUUUUUUUAAUCAUGUUGAGGUUUUAAAUAUCUUUAUGAAUUAAAUAUUUCCAUAAAAUAUUAUAUAUAUAUAUAUAUAUAUAUAUAUAUAUAUAUAUAUAUAUUCAAAAUUUUAUUAGAAAUAUUUCUUAAAAAUUGUAUAUUGAAUAUCAUUAAUGCGUGUAAUUAAAUUCUUUUUUCAAUAUAAUCAGGUAUGUUAAAUUUGAUUAUGUCUAAUUAACAACUUUGUAUGAAUAUGAUUUCGUAAUAUAUAUUAUAAACUUAAUUUUAAUUUUUGAAAUUACAAAAUUAAUAUAUUAAUGCAAGCAAUUUAACAAUUCAGUUUUUACUUCAUUAAACACAAUUAGCUUUAUAUAUUAUUAAAUUAAUUUAAAAUUGAUAAAACAAUAUCUUGUUAGAUUUGUUUGAACUAAUUCAAAAUUCAUUAAAUAAUAUUUGAUUAGACUUAAAGUUCAUUAUAUAACAUGGCAAAAGCAGCUACAUGUCAAUAAAUAAAUGCAUGAAUUAUCGAUCGGUGUGGGUUAUUUAUAAUCUACACCGAAGUAAUUCCCAAAUAUUAAAUUUCUUAACACUAUUAUAGAACCCAUUGAUGCACAUACGAGAGCCCUACUUUUAGUUAAUUGAACUAAUUUUCUAAUUAUUCAGGAAAAUCAGAUGAAAAUUUUCAAAAUUCUAAUUCCCAAGGCUACAUUUAUAAUACUAAGUACUAUUUAGUUUUGAUUUUUAAUACUUUGUCUGGACGGGGCCUAAGAAAUGAUAAAAUAAAUUAUUUGUUCCUAGAAGACCGCAUAACAGGAUGAGAUAGUACAAAUAGCAAGAGAGGUUUAAAAAUUCUUUUCAAGUCAUAUAAAUGUGCUUAAAAUAAUAAUUUUAAAAUUUUUCUAAGAAUUAAUUGAGACAGUUUUUGCAAACAAUGUGUGAAUUAAUUAAUUUUUUAUAGGGUUUUAAUUCUAAUUAGUAAUUACUAAUUGUAAUUUUUUAUCAAUAAAUAUUAGUUUGUAAGUUAAUUUUGUUAGAAAUAAGAGUUCAAAUUUUUUACUCAUAAUCUUUUUCAUCUUCCUUCUAUUUUCAUUGUAAUUGUCGAAUCAACCUUAUAUCUCAUAAUUACUAAUUAUCAUUAAUUUCAUAAAUUUUUUUAUUGUUUGCCCAUUUUUACGGUGUAAGCCUACAUUGUUAGCUUAUAACACAAUCCUAGCUUUGGUACAAUUAUAUGCUAAAACUUACUAGUAACACAUACACAUUCAAGUAGAAUCAGUUUAUAUCAGGAUUAUAUAGCAGGGAGCUUUGAACAAAAUCUUAAAUUUUGGUAACCCAUUUUUUAAAACUUUGAAAGAUAAAACAAUAGGAAAUCUUUUAGAUAAAAUAAAUAUUACAGAUGAACAAGUGUUCAAGACAAUAAGGUGGAUACAAAUACAUAACUACUGUGCAUUAUCAAAUAGCAUCCUCUACCAAAGGAUUAGUCAAAAUUUCCUUGGAAUAAUUAGAAGAACUAAUGAAGUCUGUUGACAUUGUUUGACUAGAGUAGAUGCUUUGAUCAUUUUCCAUUGUCUCAUGUGGAUACAAAGAAGGCUUUGGAGGUAUUUCCAGGCUUUCAAUGUCUCCUUCAAGCAUUUCCACUACUUUAUUCAUUGAGAGGCGAUCGGUUGGUUUCAACUGUAUACACCAAAGUGAAACAAUUAUCAUCUUUUUUGCUAUUUUAUUUUCCUCCUCUGUGACACCUUCCAUUCCUAUAUUUGUCUCUUUUCCAAGUUGAUUAUAAAUCCAAAAGGGAAAGUAAAGUUGACUUGAAUGAUCCGCAUGGGGAUUUAGGUUCUUCCUCUUACUUGCCAUCUCCAUCAAAAGCAUUCCAAAGCUAUAAACAUCAGCCUUGUGGGAUAUUCCUCCAAUAUUUUUAUAAAAUAAUUUUGGAGCCAUAUACCCAAUUAUCCCUCUUGCCGCUGUCAUAGUCACAAUGCUAUUAUCUAUUGGAUAUAGUUUUGCCAAUCCAAAGUCAGAGACCUUUGGGGUGAAUGUUUCAUCAAGAAGGAUGUUAUGGGGUUUGAUAUCAAAAUGCAAAAUUUGCAUCUCGCACCCAUGAUGGAGAUAAGCAAUCCCACGAGCUACUCCAAUUGCUAUAUUAAAUAUUUCGUCAUAUGUUAAAUGUAUACUUCCAUCUUUGGUAAAAAUAAAUUUGUCAAGAGAUCCAUUGGGCAUGAAUUCAUAAACAAGGGCACGAUUUGAGCCUUCAGCACAAUAUCCAAUUAGUUGUACUACAUUUUGAUGAUGUAUUCUUCCAAUUGUUGCAAUUUCACUAAUAAAGUCUUGGCCAUUACCUUUUGCUUUAUGUAGCAUUUUAAUUGCCACAAAAGGCCCGCUACGCAACUUUCCCUUGAAUACAAAGCCAUAGUCUCCUUCACCCAAUUUCUCUUUGAAACCUCUAGCCAUCUUCUUAAUUUCUUUGUAUGAGUAUCCAAUAGGCAUCAAGUUAUUUUGUUCCAGAUAAUUUUCAAUAUUUUCAUAUAUUGACAAAUGCCUUUUUCUCCAUUUGUAUAUCAAAAGCACAAUAAACAAUGUCAUCCCAAACAAAAACUUGCCUACCAAGUAUGGUAGAAUGUAGUGUCCAAAGGUAAUAAAUAUUAUUGAGUGAUAUGCAUACGCAGAAUAAUGACGACUUUCAAAUUCUGGGUGUCUUAUAGCUUUAAACAAUCCUGUGAAUUAAUAUCACCAAUGUGUAAUUAUGUUAUAACAAUGAUAAAGGAAAAAAGAUGACUAACAUACAACCUAUAUGCACAAU
RNAcentral lists this long non-coding RNA (10195 nucleotides) under Glycine max (soybean). RNAcentral's name for it is "long non-coding RNA (GMAX_LNC002800)". The record is from RNAcentral. Lineage: Eukaryota; Viridiplantae; Streptophyta; Magnoliopsida; Fabales; Fabaceae.